CCAGACUCUCAAGGAAGGCUACAUAACCCUUGUGGCCUGUCCGCUGCAGGAUGUCCAGGAGCACGCCUACAGGUGGAAGAGACGGGAUCAAGGCCAAGGUCCGGGCCCCGUGUCCUUCAAGCCUUCCGUUGUACCCAGCCAGUGAUGCAACAGCCCCCUGGCAGCUGCCCAUGACAUGGAGCUAUUCCGGGAGGACAAGUGAGGGUUGGUCGUAGGAAUAUCUCUCUCUUCCUGCCAGGCUGGGUACACGGGAAGGGCAGAUGACCUCUGGCCUCUGGCCACAUGUUGGGGAUCAACCAGGUCAGUUGUUCACAGGGGAGCACUCAUGUGGGACUGCCCACUGCUUCCACCGUGGACAGGUGACGUCUUAGUGAGUGGCUUCAGUGACUCCAGGGCUGAGUGAAGGCAGCCCAGUCUCCAGCCCUUGGAAAACACUGCGGUCCUGCCCAGAGAAGCUGGCUCCCCAGAUCUAGCCGUGGCCACCUUCAGAAGCACUUCUCAGCACCCUGUGGCACCUUCUUGCUGACCCAGAGGACAUUCCUCGGAAACUUGGGCCAAUCGCCUGCCAUUCCAGCCCCAUGGUUGGCCACACAGCCCCAGCACUGGAGGAGAAUGGAGGCCCCCUGACGGUAGGCGCUGACUGACUGCUGGGUAUAAGCUCCAGGAGAGUCCCAGCAGAGUUGCCACAGGCUCCACCCACCUUCCAGAAGUGGUACUAGCUGAACUUACCUCAGGGUCUUGUGGGAGCCGCCUGCCAGCGGGAUGCUGCCUGGGCUAUGAGCACAC
Microtus oregoni (creeping vole) is the source of this 786-nucleotide long non-coding RNA. RefSeq lists it as uncharacterized. The record is from RefSeq and is a predicted model, not a curated record. The transcript has 3 exons. Lineage: Eukaryota; Metazoa; Chordata; Mammalia; Rodentia; Cricetidae.